UGGGGAAUAUUGGACAAUGGGCGAAAGCCUGAUCCAGCAAUGCCGCGUGAGUGAUGAAGGCCUUAGGGUUGUAAAGCUCUUUUACCAGGGAUGAUAAUGACAGUACCUGGAGAAUAAGCUCCGGCUAACUCCGUGCCAGCAGCCGCGGUAAUACGGAGGGAGCUAGCGUUGUUCGGAAUUACUGGGCGUAAAGAGUACGUAGGCGGUGAUUCAAGUCAGAGGUGAAAGCCUGGAGCUCAACUCCAGAACUGCCUUUGAAACUAGAUCGCUAGAAUUAUGGAGAGGUUAGUGGAAUUCCGAGUGUAGAGGUGAAAUUCGUAGAUAUUCGGAAGAACACCAGUGGCGAAGGCGACUAACUGGACAUAUAUUGACGCUGAGGUACGAAAGCGUGGGGAGCAAACA
This 402-nucleotide ribosomal RNA is filed under the name uncultured Sphingorhabdus sp. Its description in RNAcentral is "bacterial SSU rRNA". It matches the Rfam family "Bacterial small subunit ribosomal RNA", at positions 355 to 774 of the family's 1533-position model. The record is from RNAcentral. Lineage: Bacteria; Pseudomonadati; Pseudomonadota; Alphaproteobacteria; Sphingomonadales; Sphingorhabdaceae.